This 253-nucleotide ribosomal RNA is filed under the name uncultured bacterium. RNAcentral describes it as "partial 16S ribosomal RNA". It matches the Rfam family "Bacterial small subunit ribosomal RNA", at positions 524 to 776 of the family's 1533-position model. The record is from RNAcentral.
UACGAAGGGGGCUAGCGUUGUUCGGAAUUACUGGGCGUAAAGCGCGCGCAGGCGGUCCUUUAAGUCAGGGGUGAAAGCCCAGAGCUCAACUCUGGAACUGCCUUUGAAACUAGAGGACUUGGGUACGGGAGAGGUGAGUGGAAUUCCGAGUGUAGAGGUGAAAUUCGUAGAUAUUCGGAAGAACACCAGUGGCGAAGGCGGCCUGCUGGGCAGUAGCUGACGCUGAGGCGCGACAGCGUGGGGAGCAAACAGG